Molecule: ribosomal RNA, 1070 nt
Filed under: Lycoprogenthes sp. UPOL A00626
Lineage: Eukaryota; Metazoa; Arthropoda; Insecta; Coleoptera; Lycidae
Description: SSU rRNA
Rfam family: Eukaryotic small subunit ribosomal RNA
Source: RNAcentral
GGUCUCGCACCGGCGACGCAUCUUUCAAAUGUCUGCCUUAUCAACUGUCGAUGGUAGGUUCUGUGCCUACCAUGGUUGUAACGGGUAACGGGGAAUCAGGGUUCGAUUCCGGAGAGGGAGCCUGAGAAACGGCUACCACAUCCAAGGAAGGCAGCAGGCGCGCAAAUUACCCACUCCCGGCACGGGGAGGUAGUGACGAAAAAUAACGAUACGGGACUCAUCCGAGGCCCCGUAAUCGGAAUGAGAACAAUUUAAAUCCUUUAACGAGGAUCAAUUGGAGGGCAAGUCUGGUGCCAGCAGCCGCGGUAAUUCCAGCUCCAAUAGCGUAUAUUAAAGUUGUUGCGGUUAAAAAGCUCGUAGUCGAAUCUGUGUCCCGCGCCGCCGGUUCGUCGCUCGCGGCGUUUAACUGGCGUGUACGCGGGACGUCCUGCCGGUGGGCCUAACCCUUUCACGAGGGCGGCCCAAUCAUAAUCCCGCCGCGGUGCUCUUCACCGAGUGUCGAGGCGGGCCGGCACGUUUACUUUGAACAAAUUAGAGUGCUUAAAGCAGGCUCAAAUUUUGCCUGAAUACUUCGUGCAUGGAAUAAUGGAAUAGGACCUCGGUUCUAUUUUGUUGGUUUUCGGAACCCCGAGGUAAUGAUUAAUAGGAACGGAUGGGGGCAUUCGUAUUGCGACGUUAGAGGUGAAAUUCUUGGAUCGUCGCAAGACGGACAGAAGCGAAAGCAUUUGCCAAAAACGUUUUCAUUGAUCAAGAACGAAAGUUAGAGGUUCGAAGGCGAUCAGAUACCGCCCUAGUUCUAACCAUAAACGAUGCCAGCUAGCGAUCCGCCGGCGUUCCUCCGAUGACCCGGCGGGCAGCUUCCGGGAAACCAAAGCUUUUGGGUUCCGGGGGAAGUAUGGUUGCAAAGCUGAAACUUAAAGGAAUUGACGGAAGGGCACCACCAGGAGUGGAGCCUGCGGCUUAAUUUGACUCAACACGGGAAACCUCACCAGGCCCGGACACCGGAAGGAUUGACAGAUUGAGAGCUCUUUCUUGAUUCGGUGGGUGGUGGUGCAUGGCCGUUCUUAGUU